CAGCCGCGUGGCUCGGGAUGGGCUUUUUCGCUGUCGCCGCAAACGGCGGAGCGACCCCAUCGUCCAGAUGUUGGAGAGCGUCUUGCAGUUGA
This 92-nucleotide transfer RNA is filed under the name Devosia pacifica. RNAcentral describes it as "tRNA-Asp". The record is from RNAcentral. Lineage: Bacteria; Pseudomonadati; Pseudomonadota; Alphaproteobacteria; Hyphomicrobiales; Devosiaceae.